UCCUAUCAAGAUAUAGAACUUUUGGAAGUUCCCAAUGUGGCUCAGUGGUAAUGAGCCUGACUAGUAACCAUGAGAAUGUGGGUUUGAUCCCUGGCCUUGAUCAGUGGGUUAAGGAUCCAGUGUUGCCGUGAGCUGUGUGUAGGUCGCAGAUGAGGCUCAGAUCCUGCAUUGCUAUGGCUGUGUCCAAUUUGACCCCUAGGCUGGGAAAUUCCAUGUGCUGCAGGUAUGGCCCUAAAAAGAAAAAAAAAAAAGAUAUAGAACUUUACCGUCAUCUCUAAGAGUUUACUUGUUAAUUCCUACCCCCAUGCACUCAAGAGAAAACCAUUAUUCUGAUUUUUUUCACCAUAGAUUAGUUAUGACUGUUCAACGAUUUCCUUUAAAUAGAAUAAGGCAAGUGUGCAUUUGUGAAAGGCUUCUUUCAAUAAGUAUAAUCUUGCCAAUAUCUUUUUUAGGAUAUUUGCAAUUAUGUUCAUGAGUGAGAUGUAAAUUUUCUUUCUUGAACUGUCCUUUUUCUGGUUUUAGUAUAAAUAUUAUUCCUUCUCUUCCCACUUGGUCUCUUCCUUUUGCCCAAUGGCUAAUACAAUGACUUUUACAUAGUUAUUAUGGAAAAAUAUAUGAAUAAAUAUGGCUAUAAUAAACUAUUUCAUAGUUGCUUUGAUUGAGCAAGCUCAAAAGUCCUUAUUAAACUGUAUGGCUAUUCAGACAAGGAUGCCAAUACCAUGAAAUUGAACACUGGGAAGUUAGUCUUGACCAGAUCUCAAUGGCAAACUUGUUAAUUAUAAUAAAAUUAUAAUUAUAAUUUUAGUAAUAAUAAGCAAGCCAUUAUUAUUAUUUAAUAAGCAGCUUACACUACUAGUUUUAACCCAAUAUUCAUCCAUUGUUAACAUAUUUUUUUUUUCUUUUAAGGGCUGCACCUGUGACAUAUGGAAGUUACCAGGCUAGGGGUCAGAUUGGAGCUGCAGCUGCUAGCCUACACCACAGCAUAGCAACACCAGAUCCAAGCUGUGUCUGCAACCUACACUGAAGCUUGCAGCAACGCUGGAUCCUUUAACCCACUGAGCAAAGCCAGGGAUCUAAUCCUCAUCCUCGUGGAUACUAGCCAGGUUCUUAACCCACUGACCGCAAUGGGAACUCCCCAUUAUUAACAUCUUUAAAGCAGUGACCACUAUGAAGUGCACUUUAACAUUGUAACCAGGACAAAACAGGUAUACAUAUUCAGAUCAAGGAUAUCUCCCUCACAAAAAAGAGAAAAAAGUCUUUAACCAUGUGUAUUGAUGGGUGUUAACUGGACAUUGUGGUGAUCAUUUCACAAUAUAUACAAAUGUUGAAUCAUGGUGUUGUACAUCUGAAAUUAAUAUAAUAUGUCAGUUUUACCUUAAAAAAGAAAAAGCUCCCAUAUUGUCCCACCCCUGCUGGUAACUCCUGAGACUGUAAACCAUUACACAUAGAAAAUGUCAGGCAGAAGUCACAAGUGGAUUCUUUGGCAGUCAAUACCCUUAUUCUACAAACCUCAUGCAAAUAUUUAUUUGAUGUCUUACCCCUUCCUGACAUUUAAGUUAAUUCGGGUUGCUGUAAUAAAAUACCAUAAACUUGAUGGCUUAUAAACAACAGAAAUUUAAUUUUCACAGUUCUGGAGGCUAGAAUUCUGAAAUCAGUGGGCCAGCAUGGUCAGGUUCUGGUGAGAGCCCUCUUCUGGGUUGUAGACUACCAAUUUCUUGUCCCAUCCUCACAUGCUGGAGAGCACAUGGGAAGCAAGCUCUCGUGACUCUGCUAAGGGCACUAAUUUCAUGCAUGAGGUCUCCAUCCUAAUUACUUCCUAAAGGCCCUGCCUCUUAAUACCAUCAUAGGGGUUGGGGUUUCAGUGCAUGGAUUUGGGGAGAAUACAAACAUUCAGUCCAUAACAGCAUCCAUUACUUCCCUGUCUGCCCAAAGGAAAGCAGGUGGUGCAUAUAUUGCAGACAGGCUCACAAAUAUUUCUUGAGUGCCAACUAUUACCAGCUAUAAGAAACAUUUUGGAGUUUCCAUUAUGUCUCAGCAGGUUAAGAACUCAGUGCAGUCUCCAUGGGAAUGCAGGUUUGAUCCCUGGCCUCGCUCACUGGGUUAAGGAUCUGGCAUUGCCAUAAACUGUGGCAUAGGUCACAGAUGUGGCUUGGAUCUGGCAUUGCUGUGGCUGUGGUGUAAGCCUGCAGAUGCAGCUCCAAUUUGACCCCUAGUCUGGGAAUAUCCAUAUGCCACAGGUGCAGCAACUGUUAGAGAAAGAAAGAAAGGGAGGGAGGGAGGAAGGAAAAAAGGAAGGAAGGAAGGAAGGAGGAAAGAAAGAAUGAAGGAAGGAAAGACAGACAGGAAGAAAGAAAGAAAGAAAGAAAGAAAGAAAGAAAGAAAGAAAGAAAGAAAGAAAGAAAGAAAGAAAGAAAGAAAAAGAAAGAAACAUUUCCUUCCCUGGCAAUUCAUGAAGGCAUCGAUAUAAAAAGCAACAUAGGAUGAAUAGCAGUAGAAUAAUAUCAGCAAAAGAUUAAAGAAGGGAGACACUGGCAGGAGAACAUCAUCAAAGACAGAAACUCUUGGUGGAGGGGAACUUGGAGCUGAGAUUUUAGAAAGUAUUUAAGUUUUGUGGUACACACAAGAUUACAAGGAACACACAGAUUACAGAGUGCUGUCAUACACAGACCUGUGAGGUAGGUCUCAUUAUUGUACUAGUGGCUUCCACCUUGCUACCUAAUUCACAGACUGAAAAAAUGGAAUGAACUAGAUUCUGUCCUGGGUGUUAGGAAUGGAAGAAGAUAAGUGACUGCCAAAUGAACUGAGUGUGAAAAUAUCUUCUUGAUCUGGAUACCAAUUACCUGGGUAUGUUUACUUUGUGAAAAUUCAUUCAGCUAUAUACCCAUAUUUCUUGGACAUAUUUCUACACAUGUUACAUUUUAAUUUAUAAUUUUACUUUUUAAAUUCUUCAUUCAAUUUGCCUAUUAGAAAAUCAUCUUUACAUCCCUUGAAGAGUUAAAGAGGUUGGUAAUGCACAUUUUGAAAUAAAUUGAUUUAUCAUUAUGUUAACCAGGAGUUCCUGUUGUGGCUCAGUGGGUUAAGAACCUUACAUUGUGUCCAUGAGGAUACAGGUUUGAUCCCAGGCCUUGCUUAGUGCGUUAAGGAUCCAGCAUUGCCACAAGCUGUGAUAUAGGUCACAGAUGCUGCUCAGAUCUGGUGUUUCUGUGGCAAUGGCAUAGGCUGGCAGCUGCAGCUCCGAUUUGACCCCUAGCCCAGGAUCUUCCAUAUGCUGCAGAUGAGGCUGAAAAAAGAAAAAAAAAAANAA
RNAcentral lists this long non-coding RNA (3304 nucleotides) under Sus scrofa (pig). Its description in RNAcentral is "lncRNA (ENSSSCG00025041269.1)". Lineage: Eukaryota; Metazoa; Chordata; Mammalia; Artiodactyla; Suidae. The record is from RNAcentral.